AUUAUAGUAUUUUAUAAAGGUAUUACCGAGGGAUCAAUGACGGAUUAUCUAAGAUUUUACUGACAAAAAAACCUCACUCGCUUAACCUUCGGGAAGUAAAACCUCCUAGCGAGGGAACAGCGACCGAUGGCAAAAAUUAGAGGCAUUUUUUUCUUGAACCUCGCCAAACCCUCGCAGAAGAUCUAUGCCUUCUUUUUUUCAUUUCCCGCUUUUCUUUCUAUUCUUGUUCCCUCAUUUUAUUCUCAUUCCCUCUAAAUUCUUCACAAAGCGAACAAUUUCCUUCCAAAGCCCUUAAUGACCGUCAAGUCUCUCCUCCACCUCGGAAAUCGCCUCCACCAUUGUCGAUCUGCAUCGCUCCUCUUUGAAGCCACUAAAAGGAAAACCUAAUCAGAAAUCACAUCCUUGUUGGCUUUCCUCUCGGUCCGUCACCCUUCCUUGUUGACCCACCACUUAAUUCCUAUCUAACGCCUUUCGAUCUAUUGGUUCAUCAUAUACUAUUGAUUUAGAUCAUACAACUACUCAGCAGCAACAGCGGCGUCGAUCACCAGCGGUGUCAAUCGCCUGAUAGGGUAGUGGCAGUGGUUCUGUUGGUGGUCUGGAACACUUUGAAAACUUUUAAUAAUUACAAAAAUUACUAAAACAAAAACGCACAACGAAAGAAAGAAAUCAAAAAAGCACAAUGAAAGCAAAAACGAUGGGUAGCAGCAAACAACUGAAAUCGACAGCUCCAAAAUGUUUGAAGGUUCCAAAAACGAUACAAGCAUCAAUCCCCGAUGUUAGGUUGCUAUGAAUUUCAAACAAUCAGUUCCAUACGCGCUUCUCCAGGUAAAUCAACUUACUACAGGCGAAGAUUAAAAAUACAUCUUCAAAAAAUUAGGGUACACAAGAUGACAAAUUGAAAAUCAUUACCAACUCUAAGCUUUUGGUAGGACUAGGAGGGGUAAAAUAGUCCAAUAAAAGACUUUAGCAUAUAAAUAGCACAGAGAACAUGUAUGUGUGUCAUGUAGCUCUUCAUGCUUUAAAGGACACAACUAUAAACAGUGAUCGAAAGAAUGUUGGAGAGUAUUUAAAACCUUGUAUGGAUGGUAUGGAAAACGAAAGUCACUCUGCUCUUCAUGGUGCAGGAGCUUUUUCUCUUUUAUUGAUCAGACCUCUAUACCAGACAACCCUGAUUCCUUGCAAACUUAGGAAGUUCUUCUGCCAGGUCACUUGGUUACAAUGUAUGUUAAGGUAAAAAUCAACUACGUUUAUUUAAGCAUACAUACAUUUUGAAAAAAUGGAAGAGUAGACAAUCUUUUCCUACUCAUUUUCAAGAUAAGCUUCAGGAAUGGCUGCUAAAAGCUAAAAAACUACUUCAAGAUGAAGUUGAUAACAGAAAGAAAAACUUUGAGUUUGGAAGUUUAGAUGAUGUGAAGAAGGCAUUGGAUAAGAAUCUUGCAAAACAAGUUGGUUCAGCUGUUGAAAAUAUGUUGAAGACUGGAAGAUUUGUUACACAGUUGACUCUUGAUUUGAAAGAGCUACUCAUUUCUUUAAUAAAUAUUGUAGAAAUUGUUUAAAACUUUUAACUUUGGGUAAUCCCAUUUGUUUGCUAGAAAGCUGGUAUGACAGUUCAAGCAGAAAGGCUGAAUUUUCUCAGAUUUUUGUCACAUUUUAGAGCUGUUCAUAGAGGUUCUUCACUUGCAGGACUUCAUACUACAAGUGUGCGUAAAUUGUUGUCAGAGUCAUGGGGUUUUGUAUUGUGACAUGUCCAUUUUCAUGGCCAGAAAAGACCGAUUUUGUUUAUGCUUUAUAAAAAUCAGAGUACUUGUUUUAAUAAAAAUGUUGCGGAAUUUGUUCCCAGUAAAACAUGAUAAAUACGUUAUCAAAG
Molecule: non-coding RNA, 1867 nt
Organism: Lactuca sativa (garden lettuce)
Lineage: Eukaryota; Viridiplantae; Streptophyta; Magnoliopsida; Asterales; Asteraceae
Source: RefSeq, a predicted model, not a curated record